AUUGAACGCUGGCGGCAGGCCUAACACAUGCAAGUCGAACGAGUGGCGGACGGGUGAGUAAUGUCUGGGAAACUGCCCGAUGGAGGGGGAUAACUACUGGAAACGGUAGCUAAUACCGCAUACCAUCGGAUGUGCCCAGCUGGGGUUAGCUUGUAGGUGAGGUAACGGCGCACCUAGGCGACGCUCCCUAGAUGGUCUGAGAGGUUGACCAGCCACACUGGAACUGAGACACGGGCCAGACUCCUAGGGGAGGCAGCAGUGGGGAAUAUUGCACAAGGGGCGCGAGUCUGAUGCAGCCAUGCCGCGUGUAUGAAGAAUGCCUUCGGGUGGUAAAGUACUUUCAGCGGGGAGGCGUUACCCGCAGAAGAAGCACCGGCUAACUCCGGGCCAGCCGCCGCGGUAUUUC
Molecule: ribosomal RNA, 406 nt
Filed under: uncultured bacterium
Lineage: Bacteria
Description: partial 16S ribosomal RNA
Rfam family: Bacterial small subunit ribosomal RNA
Source: RNAcentral